RNAcentral lists this transfer RNA (74 nucleotides) under Acidobacteriota bacterium. RNAcentral describes it as "Acidobacteria bacterium (activated sludge metagenome) tRNA-Cys". It matches the Rfam family "tRNA". Rfam says of the family: Transfer RNA (tRNA) molecules are approximately 80 nucleotides in length. Their secondary structure includes four short double-helical elements and three loops (D, anti-codon, and T loops). Further hydrogen bonds mediate the characteristic L-shaped molecular structure. tRNAs have two regions of fundamental functional importance: the anti-codon, which is responsible for specific mRNA codon recognition, and the 3' end, to which the tRNAs corresponding amino acid is attached (by aminoacyl-tRNA synthetases). tRNAs cope with the degeneracy of the genetic code in two manners: having more than one tRNA (with a specific anti-codon) for a particular amino acid; and 'wobble' base-pairing, i.e. permitting non-standard base-pairing at the 3rd anti-codon position. Lineage: Bacteria; Pseudomonadati; Acidobacteriota. The record is from RNAcentral.
GCGAGCAUCGCCAAGCGGGUUAAGGCGUCAGUCUGCAAAACUGUCCAUCGCCGGUUCGAAUCCGGCUGCUCGCU